UACGGAAGGUCCGGGCGUUAUCCGGAUUUAUUGGGUUUAAAGGGAGCGUAGACGGCCAGACAAGUCAGAAGUGAAAGCCCAGGGCUCAACCCUGGGACUGCUUUUGAAACUGCCGGGCUGGAGUGCAGGAGAGGUAAGCGGAAUUCCUAGUGUAGCGGUGAAAUGCGUAGAUAUUAGGAGGAACACCAGUGGCGAAGGCGGCUUACUGGACUGUAACUGACGUUGAGGCUCGAAAGCGUGGGGAGCAAACAGG
RNAcentral lists this ribosomal RNA (253 nucleotides) under uncultured Eubacteriales bacterium. RNAcentral's name for it is "uncultured Clostridiales bacterium partial 16S ribosomal RNA". It matches the Rfam family "Bacterial small subunit ribosomal RNA", at positions 524 to 776 of the family's 1533-position model. The record is from RNAcentral. Lineage: Bacteria; Bacillati; Bacillota; Clostridia; Eubacteriales.